This 3794-nucleotide long non-coding RNA is filed under the name Homo sapiens (human). RNAcentral's name for it is "HSALNT0174591". Lineage: Eukaryota; Metazoa; Chordata; Mammalia; Primates; Hominidae. The record is from RNAcentral.
GCCCCAUUCAUGCUGGGAUGAGCUCACUGUGUAAUCUGAGCCUCACUGUAACACUGCAAUGGGAUACCAGCUGCAGCGGCUGCCAUGGCAGGGCUGGUCCCACCGGAGGAGGCACCCUGGCACCCCUGACUCCCAGGAUGAGUCCCAGGGAACACCAGGGUGGAGUCAGGGGCAGGGAGACUCUUGGGGACUCUGAGGGAGCCACAGCCCAGGGAGACCUCCCAAGAAGACCUCCCAAGAAUCAAGCCCAGCCUGUGGACCUGGGGUGCUGAUGUUUUCUGUAUCUUGGUUUGGAAUGAAUCUGGUACACGGCUCCUGAGUCAAGAGGUCAAGAAGACACGUGGUUUUAUGAUGCAACAAUGGGCAGCCACUCUGUUUUGUUUUGGGAACCUCAGUGACAUCACAGACUAACCCUUGUACCUUGGGACCUUGUAUGUAAGAAAACAUUGAGUCAGAAGAGAGCGUUAGUCAUAGGGCUACUGAAACACAAGGUGACGAGAACUAUUAGGCAAUUGAGUGCAUUCCCUGCAGGGCUGCUCCCACUUCUAUCUGACUUGGGUCUAGAUGACUCAAGUGAUUCCCGAGGGGAAAAUAAUCUAUGUGGAACAGCUGUCAUGAGCAGGCCUUCUGCUGCUCUUCAGCCUCAAUUUCAGCCUGCUACUUCCCGUGACAUCAUUCAGUGAUUCCUCCCUUUAAGGGGACAGUUUUCUCUUGUAUUACAGGUGACUACUUGAAGGUGGCUAGACGAGAGCAUACUGCCACCACUCUUUAUUUGGAGGCCUGUAACCUGUCUUGAGUGUGUUGCAGGAAGACUCAGUUACAGUGUUCCCUGAAUAUGUAGCUUUCCAUUACAAUAGUAUGCAAGCCAAGAUGAAACCACCUCUGUUUGGGUUUCAGCAGCUGUCUGCCUACGGAAGGCUCCAGAGUCCCUGACGCAUAUUUAUAUCUCCACUUCACUGAAGUCACAAGGAACAAACACACACCUGCCAUUUCCCAAAUCUCAUAAAACAUAUAAAUGGAUGAGACCAAAGAGAGGCAUGAGAUUCCAUUCUUAUGGUUCACAGGAAGCACCUGGCACACAGUAACUAUUAUUAAUUUCUGCACUGGAGGCAUCAGGAAAGCCUUCACGCUAUAGGGGGCCCUUUUAAGUUAAGAAGUUGGAGAGCAAGCCUCGGGGAAAGCAAAGAGAUAACUUAGUAGAAUGGAGCAACCAUACGGGAACAGUGAGAGUCCAUGGAUCUCCCUGGGCUAAGAUCAUGUAUGGAUUUGGCAAUCUGGGGUGGAAGCCACAUGUGCUGUUAUUAAGUGGAAAUGUCUCGUGAACAUGUGGAAAGUGAUGACUGGAACUUCAGAUGAAAGUCAAAGCUGGAGAUAGGAGAUUCAGAAGUCACCCCACCAAAGAAGGAAUGGUUAAAGCUAUAAGAACUAAUGAGAUCCUAUUUAUUUGCUUAUUCAAUCAACAUAUGUAGAACUAAAUGCUAAGAAUGUAAUGAUAAAUAAGACAGAAAGGGACCUUGCCCAUAUGGUAUUUACAAUCUACUGCCAGUUCAUAAUCUCCUAAAAAAUAAUGUAGAGAACAAUAACAGAAUCAAAGAAAUCUUGAACGUCUAUAUUUAAGGGGUUGAAUGUAAAAGAAAAGGCCUUAAAGGAGGCAGAAAAAUAGCAAUGAGAAAAGUUUGGGAAUUCUAAAACAAGACAGUAUUUCAGAGGAAGAAAACGCAGGUAAUACAUGGGCAAGUUUCACACACAGAGGUGAUGCAUCCUGGUGACCAAUAUUACAAGGAAGAGAGAUGAUGACUGAGGACAGGCUGGUGGACUUGAUUUGAGGUCAACGGUAUGAGGAUAAUUUCAGCAGAGUGGUGGGAUGGAGCGAAACAGCAGGUGUGUCAAUAAUGAGUUAAGCUUUGAGAAAGGGGAGACUUCAGAUGCAGACAACUCAUUCCUGAAUCUGUGCUUCAAAAACAAGAAAAAGCCCAAGAUGUCAGGAUAUCUGCAGGGUCAAGCAAAGCAUUUUUUUCACGAUGGUAAUAGGUAAAAGAGAUUUCUCUAGCCCGCUGGUCUAAGGAUCAGACAGAGGGUGGAGGUGCUUGAUAAGGAUGGUCAUGGCAUUUUUUGCAGACUGAAAUGAUAUUUGAAAACUAAAUGCUAGCCUGUGUUACAGCUACUUACCCGCUGAGGAUCAAACGUACAUUUAUUUGCCCUAUUGCCCAACUUAUGGCUAUGCCAGUAAUGUCCUCUUUUUUUCCUUAUCAUUUCUUUUCAGCUUGUUUUCCCAAACUGUGGUGUUGCCUUGCCCUUGAGAACCCAGCUGAGGUCUAGACUGUUUCAUGGAUCACCUAAGCUUGGAGCUACAGUUGGGCUGCAAAGUUGUUCCUCUAGUGCUGAUACAAGAACAUAGCUGGUCCUCUUGUUCAUAGUGGUAAAAUAUUUUUAAAAUCUGACAUAAACACAACAUAUUAAUUACAGAAAUGAUGGAGAGAGAAUAAAGCUGGGACCCCACAAAGUCAUCUUUGCAGAGUUAUUCUGCUGACUCAAACCACACUUUAACUGAUGACAUCCUAGCAUCGAUCUGAAGUACAUUACUUUAAAAACAGAAGCUGUUUCUGAAAUAAGAUCUGCUAAAGUAAGAAGCCAGCUAGAAAAACACAGAUUUUAAGUCACUGAGGUUAUUGGUUCGAAACAGUUUACUUGGCACAUACAGAUCUUUGAGUUUUUCUAAAACUCUUUCCUGAUUUUUGGCAUUUAUUUGGCUUGGAAGGUUCUGGCGAGGCAAAUGAGAAAGGUGAGCAGAAAGGACUGGUGCAAUCAAUCAUCCUAUACCAGGCACACCCAGUGAUAUUAAAAGCUCAAUGACAUGGGACCUCACCAAUGUCUCACUAACUUAAGAGCGUUUGGGAGGCCUGGGCAAUUGUUGGCUGCGGCACAAGCUCUCUCAGCAGGCAUCGACAGCACAAACUACCAGGCGGACUACUGCCUUUCCUUCUGGACUGCACACAUUGAAAUGUCAAUGAAAUUGAAUGAAAUACCUGCUGACAGCGUUUACUGUUCAGACUUAUUGCUGCAAUAAUACUAGGGAUAGGGUGGGGGUAAGAAGUUACCGAAUUUGAGCAAAAACAAACCUGGUUUUACACUCACAGUUGUAGCUGUUCCAGCUACACUGAAUGUGCAUGUGAAAUCAGAAGAGAUCAUGUGAUGAACAUUCCAUUCUUGGCAAUAUAAUAUUUCCAAAAAAUGCAACUUAAAAGAACUGCUAUCUUGAAAGAGCUUCUAUCUCAGGUGCUAGCACCAGAAACAAAUGCCCUUCAUCCUCUGAAAGCAUAUGAGAACACAUUCCGCCAUACCUCACCUCCAGCUGAGCCCAGUCACUAGCAGAAGUGCAAGCCUCUCCAGCCAUCUGUUAAUACCAGAACACUCAUUCCCAAACUGUUCCUGGACAUAAUCUGAUCAGACACAAUCCCCCGGAACUCUUUCCCUCCUGCACCCUUCCACUGUGUCCUCUGGAUUUCCCAUUCAAAGAUGAGCAAACUCACCUAUAUCUUCAGUCUCAAUGAGCUCUGAAGGUUCUCUCUGCUUCCUCAUCCUAAUUGAAAUCUGGCUAUCUCUGGAAGACUGCAAAUUCCCUGAAACCCUCUCAGGUGGAAGGUGAUCAUGGCUCUCCAUCCAGUGGCUCACAGAGCCAGGUGAUAGAGUAUUCUCCUUACUCCUCAAUAACACUUUCAAAUCAUUAUUCUGAAGCAGAGAAUAAAAAUCCCUGUUCCUCUGAGCUCAUGCCAUUGAAUCAUCCCUUUUUCUCC